This 1660-nucleotide long non-coding RNA is filed under the name Gadus morhua (Atlantic cod). Its description in RNAcentral is "lncRNA (ENSGMOG00000028754.1)". Lineage: Eukaryota; Metazoa; Chordata; Actinopteri; Gadiformes; Gadidae. The record is from RNAcentral.
UGGUUUGAAUCCCUCCUCCUCCUCCCUGACUGUGACUGAGGCCACUAGAAUGUUCUGACCCGCCCCCCCCCCCCGUCCCCCCCCAGGGAAAAGACGGCCCCCCCGGACCCAUCGGCCCCGACGGCCCCCGUGGAUACGAAGGCACCAGGGUAAGUUCUGCUGCACACCCAACACCAGGACCACUCGGUAACCAUGGUUACCUAGUGGACUGAUGACGCCGCUAGGUAGCCAUGGUAACCGAGCGGCGUCCUCGGUCUUGAUGUGACCCCCUCGUGUGUGUCCUCCUCAUGGGUCGUCUCCCGUGAUGAACCGCGUUGUGUUCACGGGGAGACUGAUCUUGUUAAGACAUCCCACGUAGUGCUCAGCAGCCCACCGCUAUAGCACUGACUGGAUGACUGUUUCUCACAGGGGGAGGCUGGCCCCCCAGGCCCUCAGGGAGAGAAGGUAAGCCCUCCAGUGGUCUGAAUGAUCCGUAAUCAUCUGCAUCCUCCAGAUUUAAAGCCCAGAUGAGCCCAGAUGCUGACAGGGUGUUCUCUGUGUCUCUGUUGUCUAGGGCGACCGGCUGUCCUUCCAGAGUGAGAAAGGCGACCAGGUGAGUUACACACAGCAGAAAACAAUAAGCAUUCCUUAUUCAUUAUUUCAUAGCACAUGUGAGCACAGGUAUUUCCUACCGUUGAUUCUGUCGAUUUGUGCAAACCAGAGCUACAAACAAAGUAGUCGAUUGGGGAACCUUGGGUUCCCAACAACACUGCAGGGCCGGGGGUACCCAGUGGGGUCAGUGUCGGUGACACUGCAGGGCCGGGGGUCCCCAGUGGGGUCACUGUGGCUGACACUGCAGGGCCGGGGGUCCCCAGUGGGGUCACUGUGGCUGACACUGCAGGGCCGGGGGUCCCCAGUGGGGUCACUGUGGCUGACACUGCAGGGCCGGGGGUCCCCAGUGGGGUCACUGUCGGUGACACUGCAGGGCCGGGGGUCCCCAGUGGGGUCACUGUCGGUGACACUGCAGGGCCGGGGGUCCCCAGUGGGGUCACUGUCGGUGACACUGCAGGGCCGGGGGUCCCCAGUGGGGUCACUGUCGGUGACACUGCAGGGCCGGGGUCCCCAGUGGGGUCACUGUCGGUGACACUGCAGGGCCGGGGGUCCCCAGUGGGGUCACUGUGGCUGACACUGCAGGGCCGGGGGUCCCCAGUGGGGUCACUGUCGGUGACACUGCAGGGCCGGGGUCCCCAGUGGGGUCACUGUCCAGUGUCUCCGACCGACCGAUGGGUGACCCUUCUCUCUGCUGCCUCUGACGGUCGCUCCUCCCUCCCCAGGGGGAACGAGGGUUCCGUGGUCCGCCGGGCCCCCCCGGUCCCCUCGGGGAACGACAGGAGGGAUCUGGAACCACCGAAUACGUCCCUGGAAACCCGGGAGAAAGAGGACCUCGUGGCGAUCAAGGAGAAAAAGGGUACUGCUCGCCAUUCAUUACCGGGGUGAAAGGGGAACCGGGCCCCCCAGGAGCCAGGGUGGGUGGUCCACACUCAGCCCCCUUACUGGAGCAGGCUGCUGUUACUGUUACUGUUACACUGUUACACUGUUACACUGUUACACUGUUACACUGUUACAGCAGGCUGUUACACUGUUACAGCAGGCUGUUACACUGUUAAACUGUUACAGCAGG